This 87-nucleotide transfer RNA is filed under the name Rhodospirillaceae bacterium. RNAcentral describes it as "tRNA-Leu". It matches the Rfam family "tRNA". Rfam says of the family: Transfer RNA (tRNA) molecules are approximately 80 nucleotides in length. Their secondary structure includes four short double-helical elements and three loops (D, anti-codon, and T loops). The record is from RNAcentral. Lineage: Bacteria; Pseudomonadati; Pseudomonadota; Alphaproteobacteria; Rhodospirillales; Rhodospirillaceae. RNAcentral also lists the same sequence under 4 other names.
GCGAGCAUGGUGGAAUUGGUAGACACACAAGACUUAAAAUCUUGAGAUCGUAUGAUCGUGGGGGUUCGAGUCCCCCUGCUCGCACCA